Cercocebus atys (sooty mangabey) is the source of this 3367-nucleotide RNA transcript. It is a transcript of the gene named basic leucine zipper and W2 domains 1, with no coding region annotated. The transcript has 13 exons. Lineage: Eukaryota; Metazoa; Chordata; Mammalia; Primates; Cercopithecidae. The record is from RefSeq and is a predicted model, not a curated record.
CGCUGGAGGAGGGGGCCGGCGGGGAGUGACUCCAGGAGGACGCGUCCAACUUCGAGACCGGUGGGGGCCGGCUCCGCUCUUCCAACCCCUCCGUGUGUUAGGAGGGCGGACGACGCAGCGGCGGAAGAAAAAUAAGCUAGUCUAGGACACCUGUCCAGGAGACGUGGAACCCAGUAAGGGAAUAAAGAAGCCUUGAAACGUCUCUCCCCUCCCCUCUCCCGGUCCCUCACCCUAAUCCGCGCGGAAUGGAAAAGACGGAAGCGACAGGCCACGAUGAGGGCGGGGCGGGGUGGGGGGAAACAAGGGGAAGAAAUCUCGCGAUAGGACAGCGGUCCGGGCGGGGGUGGCACCUCUCCCUCCUCCUCCUCCUGGCGUUAGUUCCGGUCGCAGAGGAGACACCGCCGCAGUUGCCGCUACAUCGGGGAUUUCUGGCUCUUUCCUCUUCGCCUUAAAUUCGGGUGUCUUUUAUGAAUAAUCAAAAGCAGCAAAAGCCAACGCUAUCAGGCCAGCGUUUUAAAACUAGAAAAAGAGAUGAAAAAGAGAGGUUUGACCCUACUCAGUUUCAAGACUGUAUUAUUCAAGGCUUAACUGAAACCGGUACUGAUUUGGAAGCAGUAGCUAAGUUUCUUGAUGCUUCUGGAGCAAAACUUGAUUACCGUCGAUAUGCAGAAACACUCUUUGACAUUCUGGUGGCUGGUGGAAUGCUGGCCCCAGGUGGUACACUGGCAGAUGACAUGAUGCGUACAGAUGUCUGCGUGUUUGCAGCCCAAGAAGACCUAGAGACCAUGCAAGCAUUUGCUCAGGUUUUUAACAAGUUAAUCAGGCGCUACAAAUACCUGGAGAAAGGUUUUGAAGAUGAAGUAAAAAAGCUGCUGCUGUUCUUAAAGGGUUUUUCAGAGUCGGAGAGGAACAAGCUGGCUAUGUUGACUGGUGUUCUUCUGGCUAAUGGAACACUUAAUGCGUCCAUUCUUAAUAGCCUUUAUAAUGAGAAUUUGGUUAAAGAAGGAGUUUCAGCAGCUUUUGCUGUAAAGCUCUUUAAAUCAUGGAUAAACGAAAAAGAUAUCAAUGCAGUAGCUGCAAGUCUUCGGAAAGUCAGCAUGGAUAACAGACUGAUGGAACUCUUUCCUGCCAAUAAGCAAAGUGUUGAACACUUUACAAAGUAUUUUACUGAGGCAGGCUUGAAAGAGCUUUCAGAAUAUGUUCGGAAUCAGCAAACCAUUGGAGCUCGUAAGGAGCUCCAGAAAGAACUUCAAGAACAGAUGUCCCGUGGUGAUCCAUUUAAGGAUAUAAUUUUAUAUGUCAAGGAGGAGAUGAAAAAAAACAACAUCCCAGAACCAGUUGUCAUCGGAAUAGUCUGGUCAAGUGUAAUGAGCACUGUGGAAUGGAACAAAAAAGAGGAGCUUGUAGCAGAGCAAGCCAUCAAGCACUUGAAGCAAUACAGCCCUCUACUUGCUGCCUUUACUACUCAAGGUCAGUCUGAGCUGACUCUGUUACUGAAGAUUCAGGAGUAUUGCUAUGACAACAUUCAUUUCAUGAAAGCCUUCCAGAAAAUAGUGGUGCUUUUUUAUAAAGCUGAAGUCCUGAGUGAAGAGCCCAUUUUGAAGUGGUAUAAAGAUGCACAUGUUGCGAAGGGGAAGAGUGUUUUCCUUGAGCAAAUGAAAAAGUUUGUAGAAUGGCUCAAAAAUGCAGAAGAAGAAUCUGAAUCUGAAACUGAAGAAGGUGACUGAAUUUUGAAACUACACCCUCAGUAAAGCAAACAGGAGUUGUAGAUAAAAUGUCAUGUCUCAUGUGUCCUGGUUCUUACAUCUUCCUACCUCCCUGUAUCAAGCAUGAUAUAAGGGCUUUCAUGGCAAAUUUUAUUUUAACUGUUUCUAUGGUUGCUGGAAAUGUUGGGUUUAGUUUCUAAAACCAUGUUUUAAGUAGCUACAGGAGCUAUAGAUUUGAAUCUAAUGUUGCAUUAGUCUUUUCAGUUAUCUUCUACCUCCUGUAUUUUCUACUGUAAUAAUGUAAUUUAAGGACUUCCACAAUGAACAGUUCACUUUAUUCCCUGGGUUUUCUAUAAACAGUUUUCAAGAUAUGAUUUGGUUAAAAAAUAAUUUGUUAUAAAAAUUCUGUUUGCAAAUUAAACUGGAAAAGUAUCCAAAGUCUCAAAAGGCAAUGAUUUGUGUGAUAAUAUGGCAUGCCCAGAGCCCUACUCAUCAAUGAAAACCCCAUAUGUAAUAAUCGAAGUAACCUCUCCCGAAAUCCUCCUCUCAGGCUUACUUUUAGCUUUUCCCUUUUUUUUUUUUUUUUUUUUUGCAUUUUUAACUCCAGAUGUCCUAAAGCUCAAUUGUUUGCUCUCUGGUUUUCAUCCUUAGAGAAGCCAUGGAGAACAGACUUGAGAAGUUUAGGAAAUCAUAAUGGGAAGAAGAAAGUUGAGCUUUUUUCCCUUGAGAAACUUAUGCAUUUAGUUUGUAUCUUUCCAGGCAAAACAAAUGGGUAUUCUUUUCAUACAGCCAUUUUCAAAUGAACCUUAGAAAAGUCUUAACAUUUAAGGUAUUUUAUGCACAGAAUACACUUAGAUUGAUGGGAAAGAACUCAUAACGGAGUUUGAGUGAAGAAAAUGACUGAUGUACUAAACCCAGUAGAAAUUGUUGAAAAUGUUAAAGGUCAGCAUGUUCUAAUUGGGAAUCUAGAUAUAGCUUAGAUUUCCUAUUGUCUUAGAGUAUUUGCUAUAACAAAUGAAGUGCAAUGACAAUUAUAUAUUCCUACUCGGUCAUACUGGACUGGCUUCGUUCUCUUAACAUACUCAGUAAUGACUCAAGCCUCUGACUAUUAACAUACCCUAGUUGCCAUUUUUUAAUUGCCAUGAGCCAGAUACUUCUUGGUAUACAAUUGAACCAUUUAUUUUAAUGGCUGCCUUUUCAUUUUCAUCUUUUCUUGCUGCUACCCAUCUAUGUAUGUAGUCAUUGGGGGGAAAAUGUAGCCACAUUUUUUAUGGGAAGACUUUGUGUUAAAAGUGAACAUUUUGAAGGUUUUUAACUGGUGAAACUAGCCUGGAAUAAUGCCACCAGAGACUGAGUGGAAAUCGCCCCUUUUGAAGGUGCCAUUCUUAUGAGCCAAAAGUUUGUCAUUUAAAAGUUCAUUUUGAGGGAAUAACAUGUAAUAUAAUUUGAAAUAAAGGUAUAGAACCUUAAAAAGAAUAUUAUAACUGAUUGUUGUGAAUGGGGUGAAUUUGUUAAAUGAAUAACUUUGAUAAAGUUUUUCAUGCACAGACAAAAUGUAUUCACUAGAUUUCUACGUAGUGAUCUGCUUUUACUUUGUAAUUUGUAGUUCUCAAAAGACUUUUUUUUUAAAAAAUAAAGUCCAUACUUACACUUAGGCUUUA